This 497-nucleotide ribosomal RNA is filed under the name uncultured bacterium. RNAcentral's name for it is "partial 16S ribosomal RNA". It matches the Rfam family "Bacterial small subunit ribosomal RNA", at positions 28 to 507 of the family's 1533-position model. The record is from RNAcentral.
GAUGAACGCUGGCGGCGUGCCUAAUACAUGCAAGUCGAGCGAACAGACGAGGAGCUUGCUCCUCUGACGUUAGCGGCGGACGGGUGAGUAACACGUGGAUAACCUACCUAUAAGACUGGGAUAACUUCGGGAAACCGGAGCUAAUACCGGAUAAUAUAUUGAACCGCAUGGUUCAAUAGUGAAAGACGGUUUUGCUGUCACUUAUAGAUGGAUCCGCGCCGCAUUAGCUAGUUGGUAAGGUAACGGGUUACCAAGGCAACGAUGCGUAGCCGACCUGAGAGGGUGAUCGGCCACACUGGAACUUGAACACGGUCCAGACGCCUACGGGAGGCAGCAGUAGGGAAUCUUCCGCAAUGGGCGAAAGCCUGACGGAGCAACGCCGCGUGAGUGAUGAAGGUCUUCGGAUCGUAAAACUCUGUUAUUAGGGAAGAACAAAUGUGUAAGUAACUAUGCACGUCUUGACGGUACCUAAUCAGAAAGCCACGGCUAACUACGUG